Molecule: long non-coding RNA, 1238 nt
Filed under: Homo sapiens (human)
Lineage: Eukaryota; Metazoa; Chordata; Mammalia; Primates; Hominidae
Description: HSALNT0359817
Source: RNAcentral
UUUGAAGCACAGAACAAGUCUUCAUCAGACACAGAAUUUGCUGGCACCUGGAUUUUGGACUUUCCAGUCUUAUGAACUGAUUAGCUCAAAUUCUUCUUGGAAGGGCUUGCAAGGUUUGCAGGAGGGUGCACAGUCGAUCUGGGGAGAGAAGUAAACACAAGCAAUGAAGAUAGUGGAGUGGCCUGGACGGGAAGCUUCUUUUACAAAGGAAGGAUGACAAGAGCCCACAGUUCUUAUUGUGUAGGUAAAAUGAGCCAGGGGCCAUGCCAACCGCAUCACAUGGAUUAUCACCUUGGAUUUUAACAGUAAGCCAAAGUAACAGGAAGAGGCAAUGAGAAGCCAGAGAGAAAAAUCAUGGACAACAGCAUGGGCAAUGGAAUCCUGGGACCGAACGGCUCCUGACAAGAGGAACCGUUGAAUGGCUCUAAGAAGAGGAACAACAUGAUUUGACUUAGGUUUUUGAGGGAUCUCUCCAGCUACAGAUUGAAGAAUGAUUGUAAAGAGGGUUCAUCCUCUCAACUCUCUAUUUGUGUCCAGUCAAAAUUCGCAAUGCCAACACAAUAGUUUCUAGUCCCAUGAUCCACUGAGAAAAACAUGGAUUCUUUAAAAGUAAGUGGCAAAGUACCCCUGAUUUUGAAACAUGUAUGGUCGUGAUAUCAAGAGUGACAACCUGGGCAAAAGAGAGCCAUUGCAAAGAAGAAAGGCCUUUAGGGAAAUGGAGCAGAAAGAGGAAGCAGUCAUCACACUUUAUAGAAACUUUGUCAUCUUUGAAGAGUCUGAAAGUCUCUGUUUACCCUGCUUCUCCAGCCUGAGUUCCUUUUUUUUCUCCAUUCUGCUUGUUGAACUCCUGCCAAACUCCGAUUUUGACAUCAAAGCCCACCUUGAAUGCUGCUUGUCGCUAAAGCCAUCGCUGGCAUUUCCAGACAUUGUCAAUAUCUACUGGACUAAAGAAAUUCUCUACUAAUCAGAAAAGGAAUUGGUCUGUAUUGAAGCUGGAAAGAAAAUCAGAGGAGCCAAUGCUGUCAGAGUGCAUCCAAGGACCAUUUAAAGAUGUCCUGGCCGGAGGUCUGGGCUGUCAGGUCCUGCCAGCAGAAUGAAGAGGACAUGGAGGCAUUUUCAGAUGAAGAGAAACUAACAGGAUUUUUCAGCAGACUUACUCUAAAUGAAUGGCUACAGGAAAUACUAUAAAAAUAAAGGAAAUGAUAAAAGAAGAAACUUUGUAACAUCAAGAAAGAAGG